This 742-nucleotide ribosomal RNA is filed under the name uncultured fungus. RNAcentral's name for it is "eukaryotic LSU rRNA". The stretch from base 256 to 409 matches the Rfam family "5.8S ribosomal RNA". Lineage: Eukaryota; Fungi. The record is from RNAcentral.
AGUCGUAACAAGGUUUCUGUAGGUGAACCUGCAGAAGGAUCAUUAGUGAAGAUUUGGGCAGGCCAUACGGACGCCAAAAAGUGUCCCUGGCCGCCUACACCCACUAUACAUCCACAAACCCGUGUGCACUGUCUUGGAGAAAGGCUUCAGAGAAGUUUUUUGUGGCCUCUCUUGGGGUCUUUCUUCGCUACAAACUCGAAUGGUUGUAUGAACGUGGAACUUGGUUGGACCGUCACUGGCCAACAAACUAUACACAACUUUCGACAACGGAUCUCUUGGUUCUCCCAUCGAUGAAGAACGCAGCGAAACGCGAUAGGUAAUGUGAAUUGCAGAAUUCCGUGAAUCAUCGAAUCUUUGAACGCACCUUGCGCUCUAUGGCAAUCCGUAGAGCAUGCCUGUUUGAGUGCCAUGAAAUCUCCCACCCCAAGCGGUUUUUAAAUGAAACGGCUUGGCGGAUGGGGUCUGGAUGGGUGCCUCUGCCUGCGCUACCUAGCACAGGCUCGCCCGAAAUGCAUGAGCGCCUUGAGACACUUUGCAUCCGCCUCUCUGUUUGGGAGGAGGCGGCCAAGCAGUGUUUUUCUCCUGGCAUGGCAUGAUACGUCAUUUGCUAUGUCGCCUAAAGGAGGAAUGUUUGGUUGUGUCUGCGUGUGCUUCGAACUUGCCUCUGUGGCACAUCCCAAUUUCACUUCUGGUCUCAAAUCAGGUAGGAUCACCCGCUGAACUUAAGCAUAUCAAUAAGUCG